GAUGAACGCUGGCGGCGUGCCUAAUACAUGCAAGUCGAGCGAACAGACGAGGAGCUUGCUCCUCUGACGUUAGCGGCGGACGGGUGAGUAACACGUGGAUAACCUACCUAUAAGACUGGGAUAACUUCGGGAAACCGGAUCUAAUACCGGAUAAUAUAUUGAACCGCAUGGUUCAAUAGUGAAAGACGGUUUUGCUGUCACUUAUAGCUGGAUCCGCGCCGCAUUAGCUAGUUGGUAAGGUAACGGGUUACCAAGGCAACGAUGCGUAGCCGACCGGAGAGGGUGAUCGGCCACACUGGAACUGGGACACGGUCAAGACUCCUACGGGAGGCAGCAGUAGGGAACCUGCCGCAAUGGGCGAAAGCCUGACGGAGCAACGCCGCGUGAGUGAUGAAGGUCUUGGGAUCGUAAAACUCUGUUAUUAGGGAAGAACAAAUGUGUAAGUAACUAUGCACGUCUUGACGGUACCUGAUCAGAAAGCCACGGCUAACUACGUA
Molecule: ribosomal RNA, 497 nt
Filed under: uncultured bacterium
Lineage: Bacteria
Description: partial 16S ribosomal RNA
Rfam family: Bacterial small subunit ribosomal RNA
Source: RNAcentral